RNAcentral lists this transfer RNA (85 nucleotides) under bacterium. Its description in RNAcentral is "tRNA-Leu". It matches the Rfam family "tRNA". From Rfam's summary of the family: Transfer RNA (tRNA) molecules are approximately 80 nucleotides in length. Their secondary structure includes four short double-helical elements and three loops (D, anti-codon, and T loops). Further hydrogen bonds mediate the characteristic L-shaped molecular structure. tRNAs have two regions of fundamental functional importance: the anti-codon, which is responsible for specific mRNA codon recognition, and the 3' end, to which the tRNAs corresponding amino acid is attached (by aminoacyl-tRNA synthetases). tRNAs cope with the degeneracy of the genetic code in two manners: having more than one tRNA (with a specific anti-codon) for a particular amino acid; and 'wobble' base-pairing, i.e. permitting non-standard base-pairing at the 3rd anti-codon position. RNAcentral also lists the same sequence under 1 other name. The record is from RNAcentral.
GCUCAGGUGGUGGAAUUGGUAGACACGCUAGUUUGAGGGGCUAGUGCCGAGAGGCGUGCGGGUUCAAGUCCCGCCCUGAGCACCA